UUUAAAGAAGAUAUCAGUAAACUCUUCAAAGAUAAAACAAAGAAAUUUCUGCUUGGUGAUGAAGACCAUUCAAAUGAGUUCUUUGAUGUGUACACUGUGAGUUCUGAAGAAUUCAAGAGAAUUGCACAGGGGAAGUCAACUGUUCUGGAUCGCAAUGAAACUGAAUUGCCAGCACUGAUGGAGCACAUUAAGAAACUGUACGUCUCCCAUUUCGAGAAGAAAGUGAAAGAUUAUGUAUCCGAGGUUUCUGGAGUCAUUUCAUAUCUUCACUUUUCAAA
Molecule: long non-coding RNA, 278 nt
Organism: Conger conger (European conger)
Lineage: Eukaryota; Metazoa; Chordata; Actinopteri; Anguilliformes; Congridae
Exons: 3
Source: RefSeq, a predicted model, not a curated record